GUUUCAGCAGCCGCGGUAAGACGGAGGGUGCAAGCGUUGCUCGGAAUCACUGGGCGUAAAGGGUGCGUAGGCGGCUUGGUUAGUCUGACGUGAAAGCCCGGGGCUCAGCCGCGGAAGGGCGCCAGAAACUGCCAAGCUAGAGGGCCGGAGGGGAGAGUGGAAUUCCUGGUGUAGCGGUGAAAUGCGUAGAGAUCAGGAGGAAUACCGGUGGCGAAAGCGACUCUCUGGACGGUCACUGACGCUGAGGCACGAAAGCGUGGGGAGCAAACAGGAUUAGAUACCCUCGUAGUCC
RNAcentral lists this ribosomal RNA (292 nucleotides) under uncultured bacterium. RNAcentral describes it as "partial 16S ribosomal RNA". It matches the Rfam family "Bacterial small subunit ribosomal RNA", at positions 505 to 796 of the family's 1533-position model. The record is from RNAcentral.